UUCUGUUUGAUCCUGGCGGAGGUUACUGCUAUCGAGGUUCGACUAAGCCAUGCGAGUUGAAUGUAGCAAUACAUGGCGUACUGCUCAGUAACACGUGGACAACCUACCCUUAGGUCGGGGAUAAACUCGGGAAACUGGGUAUAAUACCCGAUAGUCCUCGAAUGCUGGAAUGCAUCGAGGUCUAAAGCUCCGGCGCCUAAGGAUGGGUCUGCGGCCUAUCAGGUAGUAGUGGGUGUAGCGUACCUACUAGCCUACGACGGGUACGGGUUGUGAGAGCAAGAGCCCGGAGAUGGAUUCUGAGACACGAAUCCAGGCCCUACGGGGUGCAGCAGGCGCGAAAACUUUACAAUGCUGGCAACAGCGAUAAGGGGACCUCGAGUGCCAGGUUACAAAUCUGGCUGUCGUGAUGCCUAAAAAGCAUUGCAUAGCAAGGGCCGGGCAAGACCGGUGCCAGCCGCCGCGGUAACACCGGCGGCUCGAGUGGUAACCGUUAUUAUUGGGUCUAAAGGGUCUGUAGCCGGCCGGAUAAGUCUCUUGGGAAAUCUGGCAGCUUAACUGUCAGGCUUUCAGGAGAUACUGUCUGGCUCGAGGCCGGGAGAGGUGAGAGGUGCUUCAGGGGUAGAGGGAAAUCUUGUAAUCCU
Molecule: ribosomal RNA, 641 nt
Filed under: uncultured Methanosaeta sp.
Lineage: Archaea; Methanobacteriati; Methanobacteriota; Methanomicrobia; Methanotrichales; Methanotrichaceae
Description: bacterial SSU rRNA
Rfam family: Archaeal small subunit ribosomal RNA
Source: RNAcentral